UAAUCCCUGCAAUUCGCGUAUUAAGCCUAUAUUUUUUACCAACAAAUUAUAUACGGGAUAUUGAUAUUUUUUUGCGGCAUAUACGCCUCCUUUUCCUAACAGGAACUGCCAGUGGACAUAUAAAGCAAAAAUAAGAUAACCCACCUGCUUAUGCAGGUAAGAAAUCAGGUCUUGUUUACGGUCUGUGCGGGGCAAAA
This 197-nucleotide non-coding RNA is filed under the name Bacillota bacterium. RNAcentral's name for it is "6S RNA". It matches the Rfam family "6S / SsrS RNA". From Rfam's summary of the family: E. coli 6S RNA was the first non coding RNA to be sequenced, but its function was unknown until recently. The record is from RNAcentral. Lineage: Bacteria; Bacillati; Bacillota.